GCCGUGAAGGGUUCCGGGGAAAGGGAGGCCUCUGAUACAAGCUUUCGCCUUAAGAUGAGCCCAUGGCCCAUCAGCUAGUUGGUAGGGUAAAGGCCUACCAAGGCUACGACGGGUCGCUGGUCUGAGAGGACGACCAGCCACACUGGCACUGAGAUACGGGCCAGACUCCUACGGGAGGCAGCAGUGAGGAAUAUUGCGCAAUGGGGGAAACCCUGACGCAGCAACGCCGCGUGUGGGAAGAAGGCCUUCGGGUCGUAAACCACUUUUGCACGGGACGAAAAAGGGAUAUCGAACAAAUAUCCCCGAUGACGGUACCGUGAGGAAUAAGCCAACGGCUAACUCUAGUGCCAGCAGCCGCGGUAAGACAGAGGUGGCAAGCGUUGUUUCGGAAUUACUGGGCGUAAAGAGUCUGUAGGUGGUUUGUCAAGUCUUUGGUGAAAGG
RNAcentral lists this ribosomal RNA (442 nucleotides) under uncultured bacterium. RNAcentral describes it as "bacterial SSU rRNA". It matches the Rfam family "Bacterial small subunit ribosomal RNA", at positions 184 to 601 of the family's 1533-position model. The record is from RNAcentral.